This is a long non-coding RNA of Leptinotarsa decemlineata (Colorado potato beetle), 453 nucleotides long. The record is from RefSeq and is a predicted model, not a curated record. Lineage: Eukaryota; Metazoa; Arthropoda; Insecta; Coleoptera; Chrysomelidae.
UUCACAAAUGCAAGAGAAACAGAAAGGCAUAUUUCGUUCCUGAAAAAUACGUUAUAAACAUCAACAUUCCGAAUGGUUCAAUAUUAUUUUAUAUUUUUCAAGGUGCCGAAGGAGUCGCUCAUCAAGAAGAAAUUGAAUAUCUAUUUCGAUGUCCAAACAACAGAGAUCUGAGUAAAUUUCCUGAAGAAGAUAGGAUCACACAUGAUCGACUUGUUACCAUGUGGUCACAGUUUGUCAAGUAUCUGAAUCCAACGAAAGGGAAAAAUGAACUACUUCAAAAUAUUGUGUGGCCAAAAGUAACACCACAAGAGUUCUUUUACUUAAAUAUCAACACUACGCUGGCAGUUGAGAAGAAUAUCAAGAACUAUGAAAAAUAUAAGGAAAUUUAUUCAAUAUAUGCCAACGAAGAAUUGUCUACGUACUGAAUAAAAUAAUAUACUACAUACCUUUUUA